RNAcentral lists this small RNA (594 nucleotides) under Pongo abelii (Sumatran orangutan). Its description in RNAcentral is "processed transcript". The record is from RNAcentral. Lineage: Eukaryota; Metazoa; Chordata; Mammalia; Primates; Hominidae.
GAUCUCACAUACCUGGAACCACUGACUUUUGAACUUUUCAUUACUUGAAAUAAAUGUUCUUGUUGUUUAGCCACUUUUAGGUGAUAUAUUACGUUCUGGUGAAAGCAUUCUUCCUAAUACAAGCUGAGAGCUUACAGCUAGGAGACAACCUCCAGGAGCAGAGAUCACACACUCUCGGACAGAAAAACAGCUUCUGUAUUCUUCCCUGUUUACCAUUCUGGCAUCAAUUUCAAGUGCUCAGUCCCUCAAGCUCUUUCCUCUUUACAAAAGCCCGGCUACUGCAACAAAGCAUCCUGUCUGCUGUAAGUUUCAAGAGACUCUUUGAAACUACUGACCAUCUUUCUCACUGCAUUCAUGCUGCAACAACCCAAAUCCUGCAAAGCUCUGACUGAAUCAGGAAAGAGUGACCUUGGUAGCUAGUCUCCAAAGAUGGCCACCACCAAUACUUGCCUUCCUGCGAUAUAUAUCAUACUCCUUGUAUCAGGAAGAGAAAUGUAAUUCCCUCCCCAUGAAUCUGGGCUGGACUUAGUGACUUUCUUGGCCAAUAGAAUAUAGCAGAAGGGACAUUCUUGGAUUUGUAAGACUAAGUUGCAG